CAGUUUUGUGUCCUGUUUUAUAUCUCGGGUACAUUAGGUACAUAUUCUUACAAUAAAUAAAACUAAAAUGACCAAAAUAAACGAUUUGUGUAGUAAGAAUAUUCACGUGUAUUUUAUCAAUUAUACUAGAGCUAGUAUAGAUUGUCUUUGCGGGCUUCCGUACGUUGACCAAAGGGUUGACGCAUGUGAAGUUGUCAUAGCAACAGGAAACAAUAAACCGAAACCUCUGCAGCAACACAAGUGCUUUCUAAGAUUUUAACAAAACGUAACAUUUAAUAGCCUUCUGUGCAUUUUCACAUUUUAAACAUGACAACUCCACCCGACUCCUUGCUGAAGUAUGACACUCCGGUGUUAGUGAGCAAAAAAAAGAGUCGCCCUUUAAAAGUGAGUCCUCAACAGAUGUCAAUCAAUGCCCCUGUUCCACCUCCACCUAAACCAAAGAGUCCCUCAACGGAUGCCAGCCAACAGCAAACAGAAGAGAUCUUAAAUGCUAUUCUACCACCUAGGGAAUGGAUGGAGGACAACCAGUUAUGGGUGCAGCAGGUGUCCACCGCACCGUGCACACGGUCAGACGUCAUUCAUUUGAAAGAGCAGCUGCACAAAAAGCUAGAGCAGUACCAGGCCAAGGAGACGGGCAUAUGCUCCGUGCGCAGGGAUCUCUACUCUCAGUGCUUUGAUGAGUUAAUCAGACAGGUCACGAUUAACUGUGCCGAGCGGGGCCUUCUGCUGCUGCAAGUCAGAGAUGAGAUUCGCAUGACUAUUGCCGCCUAUCAAACACUGUAUGAGAGCAGCAUCGCAUUUGGCAUGAGGAAAGCUCUCCAGGGUGAGCAUGGAAAGCUGGAGAUGGAGAACAAGGUACACGCUUUGACGGACUUUGGAGUUGGAGAGCGAGAAGCGAGAUUUGGAGAGGCUGAUGAAUGAGCAGAAGGCUAAAUGCGAGGCCAUUGAGAGACGGGAAGCUGAGCGAAGGGAAAUCGAGGAAAAGAAGCACGCCGAAGAGGUGCAGUUCCUCAAAAAAGCCAAUCAGCAACUCAAGGCACAGCUGGAGAGUAUAAUUACUCUGAAGAACAAACCUUGAAUUAUUAUAACUGUUAAAUCGCACUAAAUCCCAAAUUGUUUUUCUCAACUGUUUAGUUUCAAUUAAUAAAAUACACAACAUUACAA
RNA transcript from Triplophysa dalaica, 1164 nucleotides. It is a transcript of the gene named dynein, axonemal, light intermediate chain 1, with no coding region annotated. The record is from RefSeq and is a predicted model, not a curated record. The transcript has 6 exons. Lineage: Eukaryota; Metazoa; Chordata; Actinopteri; Cypriniformes; Nemacheilidae.